Molecule: microRNA precursor, 3539 nt
Filed under: Bos taurus (domestic cattle)
Lineage: Eukaryota; Metazoa; Chordata; Mammalia; Artiodactyla; Bovidae
Description: pri-miR-21 transcript variant 1
Rfam family: mir-21 microRNA precursor family (bases 3023-3094)
Source: RNAcentral
AUUUUACUCUUUGUACCACACCAGUGUGCAGCAUCGGCUGAGCUCGCCUCACUCUGAGAACUAACUCUUCUACUAGAAGGGACUCUCAGCUCCUAUUUCCUUCUUAAACAUGUUGAUGGGAGAGAGUUGUCUCCCGUGAGGGGUUGUGAAAGGAUGAAUUUUUAUCCACUGGGAAGAGUUCACAGGAUUUCGCCAGCUCUGCUGAUUGUUGUUGGGUUUUUUCCUCUUUCUGUCUAAUCCCUGUUUUUUUGAGUCAAGGCGGUAAGUGGAUUUUCCUUUAACAUUCUUUCCUGCUUUUCUUCCCAAAUGUGUCUUUCUUCCUGGGGUUAUUGUACCACGCCUCCAGUGCUGUCCCCGGCAUAGGUCCGUCUCUGCAGAAGCCAUUCCAGGAAUACCUGGAGGCCCAGCGGCAGAAGCUUCACCACAGAAGCGAAAUGGGCACACCGCAGGUGAGACUUUUCCCUGGUUUUCUUCUUUUUCCCACCCCCACGGUUUCAGGCUGCAGUUACAUUCACGGCACUCACUGGCAUUUUUAGGCAAAUAGAGUGAGGUUUGUCAGGCUUAAUAGAAGUUUGAAGCUCUGUGUACCCUCUACUGGCAAAUGUGUCUUUGUCUAAAGCAGAAAAAUGUAGCUUUUGUUUUGUACUUCUCCCCAAAACGAGCAUUGGGUUAAUGGAAAAUAAUGGAUAUGUUCUGUAGAAUGAGUUAUUACCUUGAUCUUCAAUGAUUUAUUUAUAAGUAGCAAGUAUACUUUCCAAGUGGAUUAGAAAGUUAAGAUUUAUAGCAUAACAAAAUAUUGGAUUUAAUGAGUUCAUUUGAAUAUCCAUUUUGGCUCUCUUUUUCUUUUCAUUGAUGGGAAAAUAAUCUUUUUUAAAAAAAUAUAUAAACCAAAGCUGUUAACAUAACUGAACUUAAAAACUUUAAGCCUGCCUUUUGUAUAAACAGUUCUGUAGCAAAGAAAGGAAAUGACUAGGAGAGGAUGAGUAAGCAAUAACCUGAAAUGGGGAACUUGAAGGAAGCAUAGGGCUAUUUUUGUUGUUGUUUGGUUUUGUUUUUUUUAAUGGCCUUACAACUCUUUAUGUGGUCCUUUGCUGCCCUCAGUUGACUAAACAUAACUACAGAAAUAGAUAACAUUUAUGUUUUAAAAGCUGCUCCUAAUAUUGGAACAAGAAUAUAUUUAAAACUAUCUUGACGCUACUCUACACGUAUCCCCAUGGUGACUUCAGAUAGUAGAAUUUCAUCAAAGACUUUAUGUAGUGAAAGACAAGAAAUGACCUCACACCCCAUUCUAAACUAUAUUCAACAUUCUCUUUAACAAAGUGAAACCUUUAAUAACUGGAGGUAAGAAGGCCUGAAUGUAGAUUUCAGGGUAGCUGAAGAGAUAAGACUUUUCUUUUUUAAUUGUUUAUUAGGUUAUAAGCUCCAAGUUCUCAUUACUUUCGUUAAAACAUGGUAGAUGACUCCGUUUACUACCAAACUAAUGAAGCAUUUCUCGUGGGUUGUUCUGCCUUUCUUCCUGCAGGGAGAAAACUGGUUGUCCUGGAUGUUUGAGAAGUUGGUUGUUGUAAUGGUGUGUUACUUCAUCCUGUCCAUCAUUAACUCCAUGGCACAAAGUUACGCCAAACGAAUCCAGCAGCGAUUGGACCCAAAGGAGAAAACCAAAUAAGCAGGAAAAGUUGUUAACUGCAGAAAUUAAAAUGGAAGGGUUCUGCCUUAAAGUGGGAGGACUCCAGAUCAGGAAGGAAAAUUUCCUUUUCCAACCUGUAUCAGUUUUAAUUCACCACCCCCCACCCCCGAAAGCAGUUUAAUCCACAUCUUGCACUGACAUACUUUUCCUUUGUUAAGGUAAGGUAUCCACCCUCAGUUCAAUCCAGGUUUUAUUAGGAUGGAAUGUGAUGUUCAGCAGCAAAGUUAACAGAAACUGGCCUUCUAUUUGUUACUUUCAAAGGCCCACGUGGUACAAUUAAAGAAUUCCAACCACCCCCCCCCCCCCAAAAAAAAAUUCCUAAGUUAUGUUAAAUAUUUCAAGCUUUUAAGGCUUGUCAAAUAUGACCUCUUUGUUUUUCUGAGUCAUCACAAGUGUAUAUAAGUUACACUGGAUUGGGUAACAGUCUUGCAUGUCUAUCAUGGUAAAAGUAAUAUGCCAUCCUGCCCAGCCCUUCUUCUCCCACCUUCGAAAAAAGGCCAUUUUAUGAUGCAUUGCACACCCUCUUGGGAAACUGAUCUUUCAAUUUUGAGACAGUAUAAGGAAAAUCUUGUUGGUGUCUUACAAAUGAGCUGACACCAUUUUUUAUUCUGUAUAUUUAGAAUGAAGUCAUGAAAAAACUUUAUAAAUACAUCUUUGAUCAUUCCAAAAUUGUGUCCAUUUUCUUGAGCGUUUUUUUUUAAAACUUCCUUUUAGCUUCUACCAACUAAAUUCAGCCUUGCCACAUCCACCGCAGCCACAGCCUCUUAAGCCUUCAUUUAUUUGCAUGAAAGGGCCACUGCCAGGUGUUUCUUGGUUGGGUUGGAAUUGGGCAGCUGGCUACAGACUGCUGAAAGGGCAGCUUAGGUACUGGUGUGUGGAGGCGACUUCUUGGUUUGUGAAAACAGGAGAGAUUAUAGUAUAUAAAUCAAAGGACAUGGAGAGAAAAAUAAGCUGUUUUAAAAGAAAAGAAGCUUUCUCACAGCUAUUCAUUUUUAGCUCAGCACGUAUUCUGAUUUUAGCAGAAAUUUACUUUUAUAUAUAACCUAAUUUUCUUUCUUUCGUAAGUGUUUGUUCUUAUGUGAUUUUUCCUUUCGGAUGUUUCUGGUUGAACUUGGUCAUUUUAUUUUGCUGCAGACGGGGCAGGGUCCCAGGAGUGGGGCAGUGAUAAGUAGUCUCACUUUUCGCCUUUAGGAAAAUUGGUACUGACAAUAUAUUGAGUAUAGAAUUGAGUUUAAAUCUCAACAGGCCAGAAAUGCCUGGUUUGUUUGAUCAAAUCCUGCCUGAAUGUCUGCUUGUUUUGCCUACCGUCGUGACAUCUCCAUGGCUGUACCACCUUGUCGGGUAGCUUAUCAGACUGAUGUUGACUGUUGAAUCUCAUGGCAACAGCAGUCGAUGGGCUGUCUGACAUUUUGGUAUCUUUCAUCUGACCAUCCAUAUCAAAUGUUCCCAUUCAAACAUUACCCAGCACCAUGGUUUAUGAUUAAAAGAAUUGGUCCUUAGGUCUAGUGGCACUUUGAAUCUUUCGUGCCGUACUACUGUAUCAAUAUCAAGAGGAUUUUAUGCAAAAUUGGGAUAGUCUGUGAUCAAAACUGAAUAAAGGACAAGCAGCCUGCCUUGUGAGUUUUGGAAAGGUUACUUCUUAACCAUCUUUUACCCCCUACCUAGAAACUCUAGCAAUAGUUACUUACUUGAAAAGCGGUACCCAGAUGCUUUAAGUAAACUCACGUUAACCAUUAUGAUUUUUAUCUUUAGGGUUUGUGUAAGUCUCUAAAUCAGCUUCCAGUUGUCUGUCAUCACCUUCACCCGCAUUUUAUUUGGUGUUUGUCUGAAUAAAGGAAAGAGGAAAGCAAAA